GUCAGGAUGGCCGAGCGGUCUAAGGCGCCAGACUCAAGAUGUAAGUCUUGCCUGCUCCUGCAGGUUAUAUGGGCGUUCUGGUCCUCUCUGAGGGCGUGGGUUCGAAUCCCACUCCUGACA
RNAcentral lists this transfer RNA (120 nucleotides) under Agrilus planipennis (emerald ash borer). It matches the Rfam family "tRNA". Rfam says of the family: Transfer RNA (tRNA) molecules are approximately 80 nucleotides in length. The record is from Rfam by way of RNAcentral. Lineage: Eukaryota; Metazoa; Arthropoda; Insecta; Coleoptera; Buprestidae.